Molecule: ribosomal RNA, 426 nt
Filed under: uncultured bacterium
Lineage: Bacteria
Description: bacterial SSU rRNA
Rfam family: Bacterial small subunit ribosomal RNA
Source: RNAcentral
UGGGGAAUUUUGGACAAUGGGGGCAACCCUGAUCCAGCAAUGCCGCGUGAGUGAAGAAGGCCUUCGGGUUGUAAAGCUCUUUUGUCAGGGAAGAAACGGAUCCUUCUAAUACAGGGGUCUAAUGACGGUACCUGAAGAAUAAGCACCGGCUAACUACGUGCCAGCAGCCGCGGUAAUACGUAGGGUGCAAGCGUUAAUCGGAAUUACUGGGCGUAAAGCGUGCGCAGGCGGUUGUGCAAGACCGAUGUGAAAUCCCCGGGCUUAACCUGGGAAUGGCAUUGGUGGCUGCACGGCUAGAGUGUGUCAGAGGGGGGUAGAAUUCCACGUGUAGCAGUGAAAUGCGUAGAGAUGUGGAGGAACACCGAUGGCGAAGGCAGCCUCCUGGGCCAACACUGACGCUCAUGCACGAAAGCGUGGGGAGCAAAC